GUCCCAGUGGUAUAGUGGUUGACACGCCCCUCUAGCAAACGGGAGAUGUCAGGUUCGAUUCCUCACUGGGACA
RNAcentral lists this transfer RNA (73 nucleotides) under Oryctes borbonicus. It matches the Rfam family "tRNA". From Rfam's summary of the family: Transfer RNA (tRNA) molecules are approximately 80 nucleotides in length. Their secondary structure includes four short double-helical elements and three loops (D, anti-codon, and T loops). Lineage: Eukaryota; Metazoa; Arthropoda; Insecta; Coleoptera; Scarabaeidae. The record is from Rfam by way of RNAcentral.